This is a small nuclear RNA of Hippopotamus amphibius kiboko, 104 nucleotides long. Lineage: Eukaryota; Metazoa; Chordata; Mammalia; Artiodactyla; Hippopotamidae. The record is from RefSeq and is a predicted model, not a curated record.
GAGCUCACUUCUGUAGCACGUACACUAAAAUUGAAAUGAUACAGAGAUUAGCAUGGUCCCUGACCAAGGAUGAUAAGCAAAUUCAUGGUGUUCCAUAUAUUUUU